Molecule: small nuclear RNA, 106 nt
Organism: Lepus europaeus (European hare)
Lineage: Eukaryota; Metazoa; Chordata; Mammalia; Lagomorpha; Leporidae
Source: RefSeq, a predicted model, not a curated record
GUAUUAGCUUCACCGGCACAUAUACUACAAUUGGAAUGAUACAGAGAAGAUCAGCAUGGCCCCGAGCAAGGAUGACAUACUGAUUCAUGAAGUGUUCCAUAUUUUU